RNAcentral lists this ribosomal RNA (60 nucleotides) under Epibryon minutissimum. RNAcentral describes it as "Cladophialophora minutissima partial 18S ribosomal RNA". Lineage: Eukaryota; Fungi; Ascomycota; Eurotiomycetes; Chaetothyriales; Epibryaceae. The record is from RNAcentral.
CAGAGCCGGAAACUUGGUCAAACUUGGUCAUUUAGAGGAAGUAAAAGUCGUAACAAGGUU